GAUGAACGCUGGCGGCGUGCCUAAUACAUGCAAGUCGAGCGAACGGACGAGAAGCUUGCUUUUCUGAUGUUAGCGGCGGACGGGUGAGUAACACGUGGAUAACCUACCUAUAAGACUGGGAUAACUUCGGGAAACCGGAGCUAAUACCGGAUAAUAUUUUGAACCGCAUGGUUCAAAAGUGAAAGACGGUCUUGCUGUCACUUAUAGAUGGAUCCGCGCUGCAUUAGCUAGUUGGUAAGGUAACGGCUUACCAAGGCAACGAUGCAUAGCCGACCUGAGAGGGUGAUCGGCCACACUGGAACUGAGACACGGUCCAGACUCCUACGGGAGGCAGCAGUAGGGAAUCUUCCUCAAUGGGCGAAAGCCUGACGGAGCAACGCCGCGUGAGUGAUGAAGGUCUUCGGAUCGUAAAACUCUGUUAUUAGGGAAGAACAUAUGUGUAAGUAACUGUGCACAUCUUGACGGUACCUAAUCAGAAAGCCACGGCUAACUACGUG
RNAcentral lists this ribosomal RNA (497 nucleotides) under uncultured bacterium. RNAcentral's name for it is "partial 16S ribosomal RNA". It matches the Rfam family "Bacterial small subunit ribosomal RNA", at positions 28 to 507 of the family's 1533-position model. The record is from RNAcentral.